Molecule: ribosomal RNA, 1623 nt
Filed under: Triticum aestivum (bread wheat)
Lineage: Eukaryota; Viridiplantae; Streptophyta; Magnoliopsida; Poales; Poaceae
Description: partial small subunit ribosomal RNA
Source: RNAcentral
AUGGCGUCCAGGGACGCGGAGAGCAUCUGCAGCAUCCAGAUGGCGACGGGGAUACUGGACGGCGAGCUGGACGAGUCUCCGGGAGCGCUUCAGGAUCAAGAUGAUACUCCGUGCUCCGUUUUGUUUAGCAUGCCGGCCUCGCCAUCGGGGCUCCACCUCGCACAGGCUAUGGCGGCCGGGGCAAAGGUCGAGGUCCACGACCCUGCCAGGCCGCGGCUGAUGAAGCAUGCCCGCUUCCACUCACAGCCGUGCAUGCUGGUCAGAGGUGGCGGCGAGGCGCAGGCUAUGCCGCGGAGCGAAAGCACGCGGGAGUGGGACCGGCAGUUUGAUCACUUCAAGACCUUCUCAGGCCGUCUCGAGCGGCAGCUCUCUAUCCUCCGUGGGGUGGUGCCACACGAGCCGCCAACGGACGACAUUGAGCGCGGUGCCGCGUCCAAGAUCUCCGAGGAGCACACCGACGAGGACAAUGACAUUCCCUCCGCCGACCGCUACUUUGCCGCCCUUGAAGGCCCUGAGCUCGAGACCCUUCGGUCAACAGAGGUGGCGGUGCUGCCCAAUGAUGAGCCCUGGCCGUUUCUCCUCCGAUUUCCGAUCAGUGCUUUCGGAAUGUGCCUGGGCGUGAGCAGCCAGGCAAUGUUGUGGAAGACUCUUUCGUCAGAGCACUCCACGGGGUUCCUCGGCGUGAACCCCGCCGUCAACCACGUCCUCUGGUGGGCCUCCGUCGCCCUCACCGUCAUUGUAUCCAUCACGUACCUCCUCAAGGUUGUGUUCUAUUUCGAGGCCGUCCGCCGUGAGUUCCACCAUCCGGUCCGUGUCAACUUCUUUUUCGCGCCCUGGAUCGCUUGCCUCUUCCUCGUCAAGGGCUCGCCCCGUCUAGAGAGGGAGAUAAACCACAUCGUCUGGUACCUCCUCAUGACACCUAUCCUCUGCCUCGACCUCAAGAUCUAUGGCCAGUGGAUGUCUAGCGGUGAGCGCCGGCUCUCCAAGGUGGCCAACCCGUCCAACCACCUCGCCGUCGUUGGCAACUUUGUGGGAGCACUACUUGGUGCCAAGAUGGGCCUCCAUGAGUUGCCCAUAUUUUUCUUUGCCGUCGGGUUCGCUCACUACCUCGUGCUCUUUGUCACCCUCUACCAGAGGCUUCCCACCAACAUGCAACUCCCCAAGGAGCUCCAUCCGAUCUUCUUCUUCUUCGUCAGUGUACCCAGUGUCGCCUCUAUGGCAUGGGCGAGGAUCUCUGGCGAGUUCAACCAUGGCCCCAAGCUUCUUUACUUCGUCUCACUAUUCCUCUACGCGUCCUUGGUGGUACGCAUCAACCUGUUCAGGGGGGUUCGGUUCUCAUUGACGUGGUGGGCCUACACAUUCCCACCAACGAGCGCCGCGCUAGCCACCGUGUUGUACGCAUCAGAGGUGGAAAACAUGUUGACCCGAGCAUUGGUGGUCGGGCUGGCAGGGAUCGCCACCGUCACAGUCAUUGGAGUCAUGGUCAACACUGUAUACCAUGCCUUUGUGGGUAAGGACCUCUUCCCCAAUGAUGUGUCCAUCGCCAUCAUGAGGCAAAGGCCAAAGUUCAACAAGAUCCUUGCACACCUCCGCUCAUCCAGCCCCGAUGAGGGCACCGUUUAA